RNAcentral lists this ribosomal RNA (253 nucleotides) under uncultured bacterium. RNAcentral describes it as "partial 16S ribosomal RNA". It matches the Rfam family "Bacterial small subunit ribosomal RNA", at positions 524 to 776 of the family's 1533-position model. The record is from RNAcentral.
UACGUAGGUGGCGAGCGUUAUCCGGAUUCACUGGGCGUAAAGAGCACGCAGGCGGUCCUUCAAGUCGGAUGUUAAAUCUCCCGGCUUAACUGGGAGCUGUCAUUCGAUACUGCUGGACUAGAGGACAGUAGAGGGAGGUGGAAUUCCCGGUGUAGUGGUGAAAUGCGUAGAUAUCGGGAGGAACACCAGUGGCGAAAGCGGCCUCCUAGGCUGUUUCUGACGCUGAGGUGCGAAAGCGUGGGGAGCAAACAGG